AAGAAAUAUCAGUAUUACACCAGACACCAAUAAACAAUUUUUCAGCUUCUGCUAAACAUUUUCUUUCAAUGUUUUUUAACCCAUUGAGUAUUUGAGUGUCAGCACUCUCCCCCUGAUGAGUAAAUAGUCUAGUGUUAGACAGCAAAAUAAUCUGGGGUUAGGCAGAGUAAAAUAAUAGACAACUGGUUGAUCAUUUGAGCAUAGAUAACUGGUUGAUCA
Molecule: long non-coding RNA, 219 nt
Filed under: Paramuricea clavata
Lineage: Eukaryota; Metazoa; Cnidaria; Anthozoa; Malacalcyonacea; Plexauridae
Source: RNAcentral